UAAGCAUAUCAAUAAGCGGAGGAAAAGAAACCAACAGGGAUUGCCCUAGUAACGGCGAGUGAAGCGGCAACAGCUCAAAUUUGAAAUCUGGCCCCCGGGUCCGAGUUGUAAUUUGUAGAGGAUGCUUUUGGUGCGGUACCUUCCGAGUUCCCUGGAACGGGACGCCAUAGAGGGUGAGAGCCCCGUCUGGUUGGACGCCAAUCCUUUGUAAAGCUCCUUCGACGAGUCGAGUAGUUUGGGAAUGCUGCUCUAAAUGGGAGGUAUAUGUCUUCUAAAGCUAAAUAUUGGCCAGAGACCGAUAGCGCACAAGUAGAGUGAUCGAAAGAUGAAAAGCACUUUGAAAAGAGAGUUAAAAAGUACGUGAAAUUGUUGAAAGGGAAGCGCUCAUGACCAGACUUGGGCCCGGUUGAUCAUCCAGGGUUCUCCCUGGUGCACUCUUCCGGCCCAGGCCAGCAUCAGUUCGCUGUGGGGGAUAAAGGCUUCGGGAAUGUGGCUCCUCCGGGAGUGUUAUAGCCCGCUGCGUAAUACCCUGUGGCGGACUGAGGUUCGCGCAUCUGCAAGGAUGCUGGCGUAAUGGUCAUCAGCGACCCGUCUUGAAACACGGACCAAGGAGUCGUCUUCGUAUGCGAGUGUUCGGGUGUUAAACCCCUACGCGGAAUGAAAGUGAACGCAGGUGAGAGCUUCGGCGCAUCAUCGACCGAUCCUGAUGUUCUCGGAUGGAUUUGAGUAAGAGCAUACGGGGCCGGACCCGAAAGAAGGUGAACUAUGCCUGUAUAGGGUGAAGCCAGAGGAAACUCUGGUGGAGGCUCGCAGCGGUUCUGACGUGCAAAUCGAUCGUCAAAUAUGGGCAUGGGGGCGAAAGACUAAUCG
RNAcentral lists this ribosomal RNA (870 nucleotides) under Corinectria tsugae. RNAcentral's name for it is "LSU rRNA". It matches the Rfam family "Eukaryotic large subunit ribosomal RNA", at positions 35 to 937 of the family's 3401-position model. Lineage: Eukaryota; Fungi; Ascomycota; Sordariomycetes; Hypocreales; Nectriaceae. The record is from RNAcentral.